Molecule: ribosomal RNA, 440 nt
Filed under: uncultured bacterium
Lineage: Bacteria
Description: bacterial SSU rRNA
Rfam family: Bacterial small subunit ribosomal RNA
Source: RNAcentral
CCUACGGGAGGCAGCAGUGGGGAAUAUUGGACAAUGGGCGCAAGCCUGAUCCAGCCAUGCCGCGUGGGUGAAGAAGGCCUUAGGGUUGUAAACCCCUUUCAGCGGGGAAGAUAAUGACGGUACCCGCAGAAGAAGUCCCGGCUAACUCCGUGCCAGCAGCCGCGGUAAUACGGAGGGGACUAGCGUUGUUCGGAAUUACUGGGCGUAAAGCGCACGUAGGCGGAUUUGUAAGUCAGGGGUGAAAUCCCGAGGCUCAACCUCGGAACUGCCUUUGAUACUGCAAAUCUCGAGUCCGGAAGAGGUGAGUGGAAUUCCUAGUGUAGAGGUGAAAUUCGUAGAUAUUAGGAAGAACACCAGUGGCGAAGGCGGCUCACUGGUCCGGUACUGACGCUGAGGUGCGAAAGCGUGGGGAGCAAACAGGAUUAGAUACCCGAGUAGUC